Molecule: ribosomal RNA, 253 nt
Filed under: uncultured bacterium
Lineage: Bacteria
Description: partial 16S ribosomal RNA
Rfam family: Bacterial small subunit ribosomal RNA
Source: RNAcentral
GACAGAGGGUGCAAACGUUGCCCGGAAUUAUUGGGCGUAAAGAGCUCGUAGGCGGUUUGUCGCGUCUGCUGUGAAAAUCCAGGGCUUAACCCUGGACCUGCAGUGGGUACGGGCAGACUGGAGUGCGGUAGGGGAGAUCGGAAUUCCUGGUGUAGCGGUGAAAUGCGCAGAUAUCAGGAGGAACACCGGUGGCGAAGGCGGAUCUCUGGGCCGUAACUGACGCUGAGGAGCGAAAGCAUGGGGAGCGAACAGG